Molecule: ribosomal RNA, 193 nt
Filed under: uncultured Rubrobacter sp.
Lineage: Bacteria; Bacillati; Actinomycetota; Rubrobacteria; Rubrobacterales; Rubrobacteraceae
Description: partial 16S ribosomal RNA
Rfam family: Bacterial small subunit ribosomal RNA
Source: RNAcentral
CCUACGGGAGGCAGCAGUCGGGAAUCUUGCACAAUGGGCGAAAGCCUGAUGCAGCAACACCGUGUGAGCGAUGAAGGCCCUAGGGUCGUAAAGCUCUGUUGUUAGGGACGAAGGGCGAAGGGUUAAUAGCCCUUAGCCCGACGGUACCUUUCGAGGAAGCCCCGGCUAACUACGUGCCAGCAGCCGCGGUAAU